Molecule: ribosomal RNA, 329 nt
Filed under: uncultured bacterium
Lineage: Bacteria
Description: bacterial SSU rRNA
Rfam family: Bacterial small subunit ribosomal RNA
Source: RNAcentral
AGAACCUUACCAGGUCUUGACAUCCCGGUGACCGGCGYGUAAUGGUGCCUUUCCUUCGGGACACUGGAGACAGGUGGUGCAUGGUUGUCGUCAGCUCGUGUCGUGAGAUGUUGGGUUAAGUCCCGCAACGAGCGCAACCCUUAUCCUUAGUAGCCAGCAGGUGAAGCUGGGCACUCUGGGGAGACUGCCAGGGAUAACCUGGAGGAAGGUGGGGAUGACGUMAAAUCAUCAUGCCCCUUAUGAUYUGGGCUACACACGUGCUACAAUGGCGUAAACAAAGGRAAGCGAACCUGCAAGGGGGAGCAAACCCCAAAAAAUAACGUCUCAGU